UUUAAGCUAACCUAGACCAGUUGCCUUUGAACCAAUGGGAUUGGGUCAAUUUAAAUUGGAUCCUUAUCCAACUUGAACUAGUUUUAAGUGGAGAAGGACUCCUCUGCACCUACUAGAAGCCACACCAAAAUAAUAAUGCCGCCCACCUCAAAUUACCAUGUGAAGUUGGAGAGUCUUUGUUAAUGAAGGAACUUAUCUUCAUGCAUUGCCUUAAAUUCUCAACCAGAUAUCCUUUGAUUUGUCACCAAAAUUGAUUGGGAUUUUUAUGCCAC
This 272-nucleotide long non-coding RNA is filed under the name Elaeis guineensis (African oil palm). Its description in RNAcentral is "long non-coding RNA (EGUI_LNC063598)". The record is from RNAcentral. Lineage: Eukaryota; Viridiplantae; Streptophyta; Magnoliopsida; Arecales; Arecaceae.